Molecule: ribosomal RNA, 417 nt
Filed under: uncultured bacterium
Lineage: Bacteria
Description: bacterial SSU rRNA
Rfam family: Bacterial small subunit ribosomal RNA
Source: RNAcentral
UGGGGAAUAUUGGGCAAUGGGCGAAAGCCUUACCCAGCAACGCCGCGUGAGGGAAGAAGGUUUUCGGAUUGUAAACCUCUGUCCUGGGGGACGAAGGAAGUGACGGUACCCCGGGAGGAAGCCCCGGCUAACUACGUGCCAGCAGCCGCGGUAAUACGUAGGGGGCGAGCGUUGUCCGGAAUUAUUGGGCGUAAAGGGCGCGUAGACGGCCGAGUAAGUUAUAGGUGAAAGCCCAUCUUUCAAGGAUGGAAUUGCCUGUAAUACUGCUUGGCUUGAGUGCAGGAGAGGGAAGCGGAAUUCCUAGUGUAGCGGCGAAAUGCGUAGAUAUUAGGAGGAACACCAGUGGCGAAGGCGGCUUUCUGGACUGUAACUGACGUUGAGGCGCGAAAGCGUGGGGAGCAAACAGGAUUAGAUACC